GUCCUUUUGAGAAAAAUAAAAGGUCGGGCCUGCUCAAUGACUAGGUUAAAUAGCUGCAGUAUCUUGACUGUACAAAGGUAGCAUAAUCAUUAGUUUCUUAAUUGGGAACUGGAAUGAAAGGUUUGAUAAAAAAGUGACUGUCUCUUUUAUAAAUAUAGAAAUUUAUUUUUAAGUAAAAAAGCUUAAAUUUAUUUAAAAGACGAGAAGACCCUAUAGAGUUUUAUAAUUUAUUAAUUUUAAUAAGGAAGAUAAAUUAUUUAUUUAAAUUUUGUUAAUUAUUUGGUUGGGGUGAUUUAAAAAUUAAUAAAACUUUUUAGAAAAAUGACUAUAAUUUUAGAUUAAUUUGAUCCAUCUUUGAUGAUUAAAAGAAUAAAUUACCUUAGGGAUAACAGCGUAAUCUUUUUUUAGAGUUCAAAUCAAUAAAAAGGAUUGCGA
Molecule: ribosomal RNA, 435 nt
Filed under: Cryptocephalus tibialis
Lineage: Eukaryota; Metazoa; Arthropoda; Insecta; Coleoptera; Chrysomelidae
Description: partial 16S large subunit ribosomal RNA
Source: RNAcentral